GUUAUUGUGGAGUGUAAAGGAACUGGAAGGCAGGAGAGGGCUCUGCCACGCAGCGGGGAGGAUGAGUCAGAGGUGGCUUUCACAGUCGUCACAAAGUGCGCUGUGUUCUUGGGUGAAACUGAAGAUUGUGGCAGGGCCAGAGAGGAUCAGACACAUAAUCACUACAUGGGCUGGUCACGCCGAGGGGCCACAGGAGACCAUUGGAAGAGGAACCAUAGUAUGAAUGUCAGCUCCAACCUUCAUUAAAAUGGAAACUCUCUUGUUUUUUGAAGAAAAUGACAAGACUCGGUAAUUCUGAUCUCCCUGACCCCUUAGAGAAGGAGGUGCCAGGUCGGACUGAGACAACUCCAUCCACUCCACUUUCUGCCACCCUUUUUCUCUUCCAACUUUAGAUUCUGCAUGAUGGAGACAAAGAGCUGCAUUUGAUACUUAGUAACUAGAUUUAUCUAAUCUUGAUGCUGUGUUCUUGCUACUGAUUGGAGGUUGCACUGGGUUACUUCUUGCAGCUAAAAAAUAAACAACAAAGUUACAAAAAACAAGGA
Cavia porcellus (domestic guinea pig) is the source of this 542-nucleotide long non-coding RNA. RefSeq lists it as uncharacterized. Lineage: Eukaryota; Metazoa; Chordata; Mammalia; Rodentia; Caviidae. The record is from RefSeq and is a predicted model, not a curated record. The transcript has 2 exons.